RNAcentral lists this ribosomal RNA (225 nucleotides) under uncultured bacterium. Its description in RNAcentral is "partial 16S ribosomal RNA". It matches the Rfam family "Bacterial small subunit ribosomal RNA", at positions 550 to 775 of the family's 1533-position model. The record is from RNAcentral.
AUUAUUGGGCGUAAAGCGCGCGCAGGCGGUUGUUUAAGUCUGGUGUAUAAUCUUAAGGCUUAACCUUGGGACGCAUUGGAAACGGGGGAACUGGAGUGUAGGAGAGGAAAGUGGAAUUCCACGUGUAGCGGUGAAAUGCGUAGAGAUGUGGAGGAACACCAGUGGCGAAGGCGACUUUCUGGCCUAUAACUGACGCUGAGGCGCGAAAGCGUGGGGAGCAAACAG